UUUGAUCCUGAUGCAGAGAUGCGAU
Molecule: non-coding RNA, 25 nt
Filed under: Rattus norvegicus (Norway rat)
Lineage: Eukaryota; Metazoa; Chordata; Mammalia; Rodentia; Muridae
Source: RNAcentral